ACUCCUCUAUUGCUGCUGCCUCCCAGGCUCUUCCUGGCACAGCACAGCAGGAGAAAACAUGAGCUGAGCAGUGCACUGUCAUGGAGAAAUGGAGCAGGUGUUAAGGUUCUGAAAGAAAGCUGGAGUCACCAAAUAAAUUCUGGUACUAAAACAUAGAAGAAUGCAUACUGGAUCACACAAAAGUGUCCAGGUGAGAAUCGUGUAAAAUUCACGACUUUCAAGCUGCUAUAGAAUUUCUCCAAAUUUCCAGGAAAAUAGGUGAAGAUAAAAGAGAGGGAAGACAAACUGAGAAAGCCUCCUCUUGGCUUUGCUGUGCAUACCUACAAUCUUUCACAGGAAUAUAAGCAGGACUUGCUUCAGAACAGCUGCUUCAGGAUUGUUGAUAUACAUCUGUCUUGCUCCACCAUCAGCUCUGUGAGGCAGCUUGUUCCCCUUUUGCUCCAGAGUUCCUUCGAGUUUCUUGAACUUUCAAACUAUUUACUCCACUUACAUCAGGAAAAAAAAAAUAUGAUUGCGAGGAAGAAAGCUAUGAUGUGAAAAGCUGAAAGAGAUUCCAACUCAUUUUGUUUCUGUGAAGAUCUGAAGUGCUUUUCCUCCUCAUCAUUUAUAUGACUCUCCAUCCCACAUCACUUACUUUUCAAUUAAUAAUUUUUUUCCAAAUCCAUGCUCUUUGGGGAACAGAUUUUUAUUACUUCAGGAAUCCUCUGCUUCUUUU
Molecule: long non-coding RNA, 715 nt
Organism: Pipra filicauda (Wire-tailed manakin)
Lineage: Eukaryota; Metazoa; Chordata; Aves; Passeriformes; Pipridae
Exons: 6
Source: RefSeq, a predicted model, not a curated record